RNAcentral lists this ribosomal RNA (506 nucleotides) under uncultured bacterium. RNAcentral's name for it is "bacterial SSU rRNA". It matches the Rfam family "Bacterial small subunit ribosomal RNA", at positions 23 to 518 of the family's 1533-position model. The record is from RNAcentral.
CUCAGGAUGAAACGCUAGCUACAGGCUUAACACAUGCAAGUCGAGGGGCAGCAUUGGAGUAGCAAUACUCAGAUGGCGACCGGCGCACGGGUGAGUAACACGUAUCCAACCUGCCGCUUACUCGGGGAUAGCCUUUCGAAAGAAAGAUUAAUACCCGAUGGUAUAAAGAGUUCGCAUGUUCUCUUUAUUAAAGAAUUUCGGUAAGCGAUGGGGAUGCGUUCCAUUAGAUAGUUGGCGGGGUAACGGCCCACCAAGUCUACGAUGGAUAGGGGGUUCUGAGAGGAAGGUCCCCCACAUUGGAACUGAGACACGGUCCAAACUCCUACGGGAGGCAGCAGUGAGGAAUAUUGGUCAAUGGACGAGAGUCUGAACCAGCCAAAAGUAGCGUGAAGGAUGACUGCCCUAUGGGUUGUAAACUUCUUUUAUAAGGGAAUAAAGUGAGGGACGUGUCCCUUUUUGUAUGUACCUUAUGAAUAAGGAUCGGCUAACUCCGUGCCAGCCGCCGC